Molecule: ribosomal RNA, 203 nt
Filed under: Proteus mirabilis
Lineage: Bacteria; Pseudomonadati; Pseudomonadota; Gammaproteobacteria; Enterobacterales; Morganellaceae
Description: partial 23S ribosomal RNA
Rfam family: Bacterial large subunit ribosomal RNA
Source: RNAcentral
ACCGAUAGUGAACCAGUACCGUGAGGGAAAGGCGAAAAGAACCCCGGCGAGGGGAGUGAAAAAGAACCUGAAACCGUGUACGUACAAGCAGUAGGAGCCUCUUUAUGGGGUGACUGCGUACCUUUUGUAUAAUGGGUCAGCGACUUAUAUUCUGUAGCAAGGUUAACCGUAUAGGGGAGCCGUAGGGAAACCGAGUCUUAACU